Molecule: ribosomal RNA, 497 nt
Filed under: uncultured bacterium
Lineage: Bacteria
Description: partial 16S ribosomal RNA
Rfam family: Bacterial small subunit ribosomal RNA
Source: RNAcentral
GAUGAACGCUGGCGGCGUGCCUAAUACAUGCAAGUCGAGCGAACAGACGAGGAGCUUGCUCCUCUGACGUUAGCGGCGGACGGGUGAGUAACACGUGGAUAACCUACCUAUAAGACUGGGAUAACUUCGGGAAACCGGAGCUAAUACCGGAUAAUAUUUUGAACCGCAUGGUUCAAUAGUGAGAGACGGUUUUGCUGUCACUUAUAGAUGGAUCCGCGCCGCAUUAGCUAGUUGGUAAGGUAACGGCUUACCAAGGCAACGAUGCGUAGCCGACCUGAGAGGGUGAUCGGCCACACUGGAACUGAGACACGGUCCAGACUCCUACGGGAGGCAGCAGUAGGGAAUCUUCCGCAAUGGGCGAAAGCCUGACGGAGCAACGCCGCGUGAGUGAUGAAGGUCUUCGGAUCGUAAAACUCUGUUAUUAGGGAAGAACAAAUGUGUAAGUAACUAUGCACAUCUUGACGGUACCUAAUCAGAAAGCCACGGCUAACUACGUG